ACGCUCGACACCUACGGGGGCAGCAGUCGGGAAUAUUGCGCAAUGGAGGGAACUCUGACGCAGUGACGCCGCGUAUAGGAAGAAGGUUUUCGGAUUGUAAACUAUUGUCGUUAGGGAAGAGAAAGGACAGUACCUAAGGAGGAAGCUCCGGCUAACUACGUGCCCGACAGCCGCCGGUAAUCUGAGCGGGCUGGCAAGGC
Molecule: ribosomal RNA, 200 nt
Filed under: uncultured bacterium
Lineage: Bacteria
Description: partial 16S ribosomal RNA
Rfam family: Bacterial small subunit ribosomal RNA
Source: RNAcentral